AAUUGAAGCUGUUAUUAGUUUAAAAAAGAAAAAAAUAAGGAUUCCUAAUUGUAAUGAGAAGAUAUGCAUAGCUCAUUCUAACUUUUCCCCCCGACCACACAGUGAAGUGAAAAAAUAGUGAUUCUAAAUCCCAUAGCACGUCUCAUCAAUUUAAUGCGACCUCAUUGGUUGAUAAAAAUAUCAUGCGAGAUUUAAUUGGCUGUAAAAAAUCAUGCCACCGAAAU
Non-coding RNA from Paramuricea clavata, 224 nucleotides. Lineage: Eukaryota; Metazoa; Cnidaria; Anthozoa; Malacalcyonacea; Plexauridae. The record is from the annotation of a GenBank genome assembly.